GGAAGUGCCAUAGCUCAGUGGUAGAACAUCUGCCUUGCAAGCAGAAGGUUCCAGGUUCAAUUCCUGGCACCUCCA
Molecule: non-coding RNA, 75 nt
Organism: Podarcis muralis (Common wall lizard)
Lineage: Eukaryota; Metazoa; Chordata; Lepidosauria; Squamata; Lacertidae
Source: the annotation of a RefSeq genome assembly